Molecule: small nuclear RNA, 106 nt
Organism: Leopardus geoffroyi (Geoffroy's cat)
Lineage: Eukaryota; Metazoa; Chordata; Mammalia; Carnivora; Felidae
Source: RefSeq, a predicted model, not a curated record
GUGCUCGCUUGGCAGCACAUAUACUAAAAUUGGAAUGAUACGGAGAGGAUUAGCAUGGCCCCUGCACAAGGAUGAAACGCAAAUUUGUGAAGGGUUCCGUAUUUAA